ACAAGAUUCGGAUCGUCGGUCUACCGAGCAAUUUUGCCCGCUCGAUGGAAGAUCUCUAGGUUGU
This 64-nucleotide microRNA precursor is filed under the name Bombyx mori (domestic silkworm). RNAcentral describes it as "mir-2774 microRNA precursor family". It matches the Rfam family "mir-2774 microRNA precursor family". Lineage: Eukaryota; Metazoa; Arthropoda; Insecta; Lepidoptera; Bombycidae. The record is from Rfam by way of RNAcentral.